UAUGUGAUCGUCUCUCGCAUAUCAAUAAGCGGAGGAAAAGAAACUAACAAGGAUUCCCCUAGUAACGGCGAGUGAAGCGGGAAGAGCUCAAAUUUGAAAUCUUAAAGGGUUUCCCUUUACGAAUUGUAGUUUAAAGAAGUGUUUUCUGUUGAGGUUUUGGUAAAAGUUCUUUGGAAUAGGACAUCAUAGAGGGUGAGAAUCCCGUAUUUGACCUUUACUUUCAACUUUGUGAUACACUUUCAAAGAGUCGGAUUGUUUGGGAAUGCAGUCCAAAAUGGGUGGUAAAUUACAUCUAAAGCUAAAUAUUGGCGAGAGACCGAUAGCGAACAAGUACCGUGAGGGAAAGAUGAAAAGAACUUUGAAAAGAGAGUUAAACAGUACGUGAAAUUGUCAAAAGGGAAGCGUUUGACACCAGUGUUGUUUUUCUGAAAAUCAAUUAAAGAACUGUUUAUGCUAAGUUGUUUAGACUUUAUCAGCUAACUGUUUAGUUUUGAGCUUUUCUUUAAUGCACUUUUCAGUUAACAAGUCAACAUCAAUUUCUUUUGCUGUAAAAAAGCUUGAGGAAGGUGGCUUGAGAUUCGUCUUAAGUGUUUAUAGCCUCUUGCCUAUGCAGUCGGAGAGAUUGAGGUCUGCAGCGUAGAUCCUUCGGGGCUAAAUGCAUUUGUGCUAAGUUAUAGCAUUUUAUAGACAACUUGUUGACUAUGAUUUGUCUUGUAGCUUACUCGCUUAUGUUAUUUUACCUACGCUUAGGAUGUUGAGUAGCGACAUACGCAC
RNAcentral lists this ribosomal RNA (774 nucleotides) under uncultured Neocallimastigales. RNAcentral's name for it is "partial large subunit ribosomal RNA". It matches the Rfam family "Eukaryotic large subunit ribosomal RNA", at positions 24 to 649 of the family's 3401-position model. The record is from RNAcentral. Lineage: Eukaryota; Fungi; Neocallimastigomycota; Neocallimastigomycetes; Neocallimastigales.